UUGUAAUUGAAAAAUGAAUUC
This 21-nucleotide non-coding RNA is filed under the name Caenorhabditis elegans. Lineage: Eukaryota; Metazoa; Nematoda; Chromadorea; Rhabditida; Rhabditidae. The record is from RNAcentral.